GUGGGGAAUAUUGGACAAUGGGCGAAAGCCUGAUCCAGCCAUGCCGCGUGUGUGAAGAAGGUCUUCGGAUUGUAAAGCACUUUAAGUUGGGAGGAAGGGUAGUAACCUAAUACGUUGCUACUUUGACGUUACCGACAGAAUAAGCACCGGCUAACUUCGUGCCAGCAGCCGCGGUAAUACGAAGGGUGCAAGCGUUAAUCGGAAUUACUGGGCGUAAAGCGCGCGUAGGUGGUUCAGUAAGUUGGAAGUGAAAUCCCCGGGCUCAACCUGGGAACUGCCUCCAAAACUGCAUGACUAGAGUACGGUAGAGGGUAGUGGAAUUUCCUGUGUAGCGGUGAAAUGCGUAGAUAUAGGAAGGAACACCAGUGGCGAAGGCGACUACCUGGACUGAUACUGACACUGAGGUGCGAAAGCGUGGGGAGCAAACAGGAUUAGAAACCCGUGUAGUCC
Molecule: ribosomal RNA, 450 nt
Filed under: uncultured bacterium
Lineage: Bacteria
Description: partial 16S ribosomal RNA
Rfam family: Bacterial small subunit ribosomal RNA
Source: RNAcentral